CGACAGGUGCUGCAUGGCUGUCGUCAGCUCGUGUCGUGAGAUGUUGGGUUAAGUCCCGCAACGAGCGCAACCCUUGUCAUUAGUUGCCAUCAUUUGGUUGGGCACUCUAAUGAGACUGCCGGUGACAAACCGGAGGAAGGUGGGGAUGACGUCAAGUCCUCAUGGCCCUUAUGGGUAGGGCUUCACACGUCAUACAAUGGUCGGUACAGAGGGUUGCCAACCCGCGAGGGGGAGCUAAUCCCACAAAGCCGAUCGUAGUCCGGAUCGCAGUCUGCAACUCGACUGCGUGAAGUCGGAAUCGCUAGUAAUCGUGGAUCAGCAUGUCACGGUGAAUACGUUCCCGGGUCUU
This 349-nucleotide ribosomal RNA is filed under the name uncultured Rhodocyclaceae bacterium. RNAcentral describes it as "bacterial SSU rRNA". It matches the Rfam family "Bacterial small subunit ribosomal RNA", at positions 1032 to 1382 of the family's 1533-position model. Lineage: Bacteria; Pseudomonadati; Pseudomonadota; Betaproteobacteria; Rhodocyclales; Rhodocyclaceae. The record is from RNAcentral.